RNAcentral lists this ribosomal RNA (468 nucleotides) under uncultured bacterium. Its description in RNAcentral is "partial 16S ribosomal RNA". It matches the Rfam family "Bacterial small subunit ribosomal RNA", at positions 28 to 507 of the family's 1533-position model. The record is from RNAcentral.
GACGAACGCUGGCGGCGUGCUUAACACAUGCAAGUCGAACGGAAAGGCCCUGCUUUUGUGGGGUGCUCGAGUGGCGAACGGGUGAGUAACACGUGAGUAACCUGCCCUUGACUUUGGGAUAACUUCAGGAAACUGGGGCUAAUACCGGAUAGGAGCUCCUGCUGCAUGGUGGGGGUUGGAAAGUUUCGGCGGUGGGGGAUGGACUCGCGGCUUAUCAGCUUGUUGGUGGGGUAGUGGCUUACCAAGGCUUUGACGGGUAGCCGGCCUGCGAGGGUGACCGGCCACAUUGGGACUGAGAUACGGCCCAGACUCCUACGGGAGGCAGCAGUGGGGAAUAUUGCACAAUGGGCGGAAGCCUGAUGCAGCAACGCCGCGUGCGGGAUGACGGCCUUCGGGUUGUAAACCGCUUUCGCCUGUGACGAAGCGUGAGUGACGGUAAUGGGUAAAGAAGCACCGGCUAACUACGUG